This 14554-nucleotide long non-coding RNA is filed under the name Triticum aestivum (bread wheat). RNAcentral's name for it is "long non-coding RNA (TAES_LNC001420)". Lineage: Eukaryota; Viridiplantae; Streptophyta; Magnoliopsida; Poales; Poaceae. The record is from RNAcentral.
ACCUAUUAAAUCAUAUUUACCUAGCUGACUCUUGUAUGCGCAAUUUAUUUUUUGGCAAAUCAUAUUUAUUAGAAGCUUACUAAUAAUAUACAUCAGUAAACUAUUCACUGACUAAAGGAUAACCUUGAAGGAAAUAUGCCCUAGAGGCAAUAAUAAAGUUAUUAUUUAUUUCCUUAUUUCAUAAUAAAUGUUUAUUAUUCAUGCUAUAAUUGUAUUAACCGGAAACAUAAUACAUGUGUGAAUACAUAGACAAACAUACUGUCACUAGUAUGCCUCUACUUGACUAGCUCAUUAAUCAAAGAUGGUUAAGUUCCCUAACCAUAGACAUGAGUUGUCAUCUGAUUAACAGGAUCAAAUCAUUAGGAGAAUGAUGUGAUUGACUUGACCCAUUCCGUUAGCUUAGCACUUGAUCGUUUUGUAUGUUGCUAUUGCUUUCUUCAUGACUUAUACAUGUUCCUAUGACUAUGAGAUUAUGCAACUCCCGUUUAAUGGAGGAACACUUUGUGUGCUACCAAACAUCACAACUUAACUGGGUGAUUAUAAAGGUGCUCUAUAGGUGUCUCCGAAGGUACUUGUUGAGUUGGCGUAUUUCGAGAUUAGGAUUUGUCACUCCGAAUGUCGGAGAGAUAUCUCUGGGCCCACUCAGUAAUGCACAUCACUAUAAGCCUUGCAAGCAUUGUAACUAAUGAGUUAGUUACGGGAUGAUGUAUUACGAAACAAGUAAAGAGACUUACCAGUAAGGAGAUUGAACUAGGUAUUGGGAUACCGACGAUCGAAUCUCGGGCAAGUAACAUACCGAUGACAAAGAGAACAACGUAUAGUGUUAUGUGGUUUGACCGAUAAAGAUCUUCAUAGAAUAUGUAGGAACCAAUAUGAGCAUCCAGGUUCCUCUAUUGGUUAUUGACCAGAGACAUGUCUCGGUCAUGUCUACAUAGUUCUCGAACCCGUAGGGUCCGCACGCUUAAAGUUUUGUGACGAUCGGUUUUAUGAGUUUAUAUGUUUUGAUGUACUGAAGGUAGUUCGGAGUCCCGUAUAUGAUCAUGGACAUGACUAGGAGUCUCGAAAUGGUUGAGACAUAAAGAUUGAUAUAUUGGAAGCCUACAUUUGGACAUCGGAAGAGUUCCGGGUAAAAUCGGGAUUUUACCGGAGUACCGGAGGGGUUACCGGAACCCCCCGGGGGCUAAUGGGCCUUGUUGGGCCAUAAGGGAAAGAGAGAGGGGCUGGCCUAGGGUAGGCAACGCGCCCCCUCCCUCUGGUCCGAAUUGGACUAGGAGAGGGGGGGGGGGGCUUUCCUUCUCUUUCUUCCCCUUCCUUUCCCCCUCCUAGUAGGACUAGGAAACGGAGGAAUCCUACUCCUACUAGGAGGAUGAUUCCUCCUCCUGGCGCACCAACAAGGGCCGGCCGACCUCCCCCUUGCUCCUUUAUAUACAGGGGUAGGGGGCACCUCUGGACACACAAGUUGAUCACAAAGAUCUCUCCCAGCCGUGUGCGGUGCCCCCCUCCACUAUAAUCCACCUCGGUCAUACUGUAGCGGUGUUUAGGCGAAGCCCUGCUGUGGUAGCUUCAUCAACAUCGUUACCACGCUGUCGUGCUGAUGAAACUCUUCCCCGAGCUCUACUGGAUCGUGAGUUUGUGGGAUGUCACCGAGCUGAACGUGUGCUGAACACGGAGGUGCCGUACAUUCGGUACCGAGGAUCGGUCGAUCGUGAAGACGGACGACUACAUCAACCGCAUUGUCAUAACACUUCCGCUUAGCGGUCUACGAGGGUACGUGGACGACACUCUCCCCUUCGUUGCUAUGCAUCACCAUGAUCCUGCGUGUGCAUAGGAUUUUUGUGAAAUUACUAUGUUUCCUAACAGCGGCAUCCGAGCCAGUUUUAUGCAUGGAUGUUAUAUGCACGAGUAGAACACAAGUGAGUUGUGGGUGAUACAAGUCAUACUGCUUACCAACAUGUCAUACUUUGGUUCGGCGGUAUUGUUGGAUGAAGCGGCCCGGACCGACAUUACACGUACGCAUACGCGAGACUGGUUCUAUCGACGUGCUUUGCACAUAGGUGGCUGGCGGGUGUCAGUUUCUCCAACUUUAGUUGAACCGAGUGUGGCUACGCUCGGGCCUUGAGAAGGUUAAAACAACACUAACUUGACGAACUAUCGUUGUGGUUUUGAUGCGUAGGUAAGAACGAUUCUUGCUCAGCCCGUAGCAGCCACGUAAAACUUGCAACAACAAAGUACAGGACGUCUAACUUGUUUUUGCAGGGCAUGUUGUGAUGUGAUAUGGUCAAGACAUGAUGCUAUAUUUAUUGUAUGAGAUGAUCAUGUUUUGUAACGGAGUUAUCGGCAACUGGCAGGAGCCAUAUGGUUGUCGCUUUAUUGUAUGCAAUGCAAUCGCCCUGUAAUUGCUUUACUUUAUCACUAAGUGGUAGCGAUAGUCGUAGAAGCAAUAGAUGACGAGACGACAAUGAUGCUACGAUGGAGAUCAAGGUGUCGCGCCGGUGAUGAUGGUGAUCAUGACGGUGCUUUGGAGAUGGAGAUCAAAGGCACAAGAUGAUGAUGGCCAUAUCAUAUCACUUAUAUUGAUUGCAUAUGUGAUGUUUAUCCUUUAUGCAUCUUAUUCUUCUUUGUUUGACGGUAGCAUUAUAAUAUGAUCUCUCACUAAAUUUCAAGGCAAACGUGUUCUCCCUGAGUAUGCACCAUUGCCAAAGUUCGUCGUGCCAAGACACCACAUGAUGAUCGGGUGUGAUAAGCUCAACGUUCAUCUACAACGGGUGUAAGACAGUUUUACACACGCAGAAUACUCGGGUUAAACUUGACGAGCCUAGCAUAUGCAGAUAUGGCCUCGGAACACUGAGACCGAAAGGUCGAGCGUGAAUCAUAUAGUAGAUAUGAUCAACAUAGUGAUGUUCACCAUUGAAAACUACUCCAUCUCACGUGAUGAUCGAACAUGGUUUAGUUGAUUUGGAUCACGUGAUCACUUAGAUGAUUAGAGGGAUGUCUAUCUAAGUGGGAGUUCUUAAGUAAUAUGAUUAAUUCAACUUUAAUUUAUCAUGAACUUAGUCCUGGUAGUAUUAGCAUAUCUAUGUUGUAUAUCAAUAGCUCGCGUUUAGCUCCCCUGUUUUAUUUUUGAUAUGUUCCUAUAGAAAAAUAAGUUGAAAGAUGUUAGUGGGAAAGAUGCGGACUAGCUCCGUGAUCUGAGGAUUAUCCUCAUUACUACACAAAAGUAUUAUGUCCUUGAUGCACCGCUAGGUGACAGAACUAUUGCAGGAGCAGAUGCGGAUGUUUUGAACGUUUUGACAAAAGCUCGGUAUGAUAAAAUGUUUUGAACGCCACGGAGCAUAUAAGAUGUUCCAAGAGUUGAAAUUGGUAUUUCAUACUCAUACCCGUGUCGAGAGGUAUGAGACCUCUGACAUUACUUUGCCUACAAGAUUGAGGAGAAUAGCUCAACCAGUAAGCAUGUGCUCAGAUUGUCUAAGUACUACAAUCACUUGAAUCAAGUGGGAGUUAAUCUUCCAGAUAAGAUAGUGAUUGACAGAGUUCUCUAGUCACUAUCACCAAGUUGCUAGAACUUCAUGAUGAACUAUAAUAUGCAAGGGAUAACAGAAACGAUUCCCAAGCUCUUCGUGAUGCUGAAAUCGAUGAAGGUAGACAUCGAGAAAAGCAUCAAGUGUUGAUGGUUAACAAGACCACUAGUUUCAAGAAAAGGGCAAAGGUAAGAAGGGGAACUUCAAGAAGAACGGCAAGCAAGUUGCUGCUCAAGUGAAGAAGCCCAAGUAUGGACCUAAGCCUGAGACUAAGUGCUUUUACUGCAAAGGGACUAGUCACCGGAAGCGGAACUGCCCCAAGUAUUUGGCGGAUAAGAAGGAUGGCAAAGUGAACAAAGGUAUAUUGGAUAUACAUGUUAUUGAUGUGUACUUUACUAGUGUUUAUAGCAACCCCUCGCUUUUUGAUACUAGUUCAGUUGCUAAGAGUAGUAACUUGAAACGGGAGUUGCAGAAUGAACAGAGACUAGUUAAGGGUGAAGUAACGAUGUGUCUUGGAAGUAGUUCCAAGAAUGAUAUGAUCAUCAUCGUACACUCCCUAUACUUCCAGGAUUAGUGUUGAACCUAAAUAAGUGUUAUUUGGUGUUUGCGUUGAGCAUGAAUAUGAUUUGAUCAUGUUUAUUGCAAUACAAUUAUUCAUUUAAGUUAGAGAAUAAUUGUUAUUCUAUUUACAUGAAUAAAACCUUCUAUGGUUAUACACCCAAUGAAAAUGGUUUGUUGAAUCUCGAUCGUAGUGAUACACAUAUUCAUAAUAUUGAAGCCAAAAGAUGCAGAGUUAAUUUCGAUAGUGCAACUUAUUUGUGGCACUGCCGUUUAGGUCAUAUUGGUGUAAAGUGCAUGAAGAAAAUCCAUGCUGAUGGGCUUUUGGAAUCACUUGAUUAUGAAUCAGUUGAUGCUUGUGAACCAUGCCUCAUGGGCAAAGAUGACUAAGACUCCGUUCUCCAGAACAAUGGAGCGAGCAACUGACUUAUUGGAUAUAAUACAUACUGAUGUAUGAGGUCCGAUUAGUGUUGAGGCUCGUGGCGGGUAUCAUUAUUUUCUGACCUUCACAGAUGAUUUGAGUAGAUAUGGGUAUAUCUACUUGAGGAAACAUAAGUCUGAAACAUUUGAAAAGUUUAAAGAAUUUCAGAGUGAAGUGGAAAAUCAUCAUAACAAGAAAAUAAAGUUUCUACAAUCUGAUCGCAGAGGCAAAUAUUUGAGUUAUGAGUUUGGUCUUCAAUUAAAACAAUGUGGAAUAGUUUCACAAACUCAUGCCACCUAGAACACCACAGCGUAAUGGUGUGUCCGAACGUCAUAACCGUACUUUAUUUGAUAUAGUGCAAUCUAUGAUGUCUCUUACUGAUUUACCACUAUCGUUUUGGGGUUAUGCAUUAGAGACAGCUGCAUUCACAUUAAAAGGGGCACAAUCUAAAUCCAUUGAGACGACACUGUAUGAACUGUUGUUUAGCAAGAAACCUAAGCUAUCGUUUCUUAAAGUUUGGGGUUGCUUUGCUUAUGUGAAAAAUUUUCAUCUUGAUAAGCUCAAACCCAAGUCGAAGAAGUGUGUCUUCAUAGGAUACCCAAAAGUAACUGUUGGGUACACCUUCUAUCACAUAUCCGAAGGCAAGAUAUUUGUUGCUGAGAAUGGAUCCUUUCUAUAGAAGGAGUUUCUUCUUGAAAGAAGUGAGUGGGAGGAAAGUAGAACUUGAUGAGGUAACUAUACCUGCUCCCUUAUUGGAAAGUAGUUCAUCACAGAAAUCUGUUUCCGUGACUCCUACACCAACUAGUGAGGAAGCUAAUGAUGAUGACCAUGUAACUUCAGAUCAAGUUACUACCGAACCUCGUAGAUAAACCAGAGUGAGAUCCGCACCAGAGUGGUACGGUAAUCCUGUUCUGGAGGUCAUGCUAAUUGACCAUGACGAACCUAUGAACUAUGAGGAAGCGAUGAUGAGCCCAGAUUCCGCGAAAUGGCUUGAGGCCAUGAAAUCUGAGAUGGGAUGCAUAUAUGAGAACAAAGUGUGGACUUUGGUUGACUUGCCCGAUGAUCGGCAAGCCAUAGAAAAUAAAUGGAUCUUCAAGAGGAAGACAGACGCUGAUAAUAGUGUUACUAUCUACAAAGCUAGACUUGUCGAAAAAGGUUUUGACAAAGUUCAAGGUGUUGACUACGAUGAGAUUUUCUCACUCAUAUCGAUGCUUAAGUCUGUCCGAAUCAUGUUAGCAAAUUGACACAUUUUAUGAAAUCUGGUAAAUGGAUGUCAAAACUACAUUCCUUAAUGGAUUUCUUAAAGAAGAGUUGUAUAUGAUGCAACCAGAAGGUUUUGUCGAUCCUAAAGGUGCUAACAAAAUGUGCAAACUCCAGCGAUCCAUCUAUGGACUAGUGCAAGCAUCUCAGAGUUGGAAUAUACGCUUUGAUGAGUUGAUCAAAGCAUAUAGUUUUAUACAGAUUUGUGGUGAAGCCUGUAUUUACAAGAAAGUGAGUGGGAGCACUACAACAUUUCUGAUAAAUAUAUGUGAAUGACAUAUUUUUGAGGGGAAAUAAUGUAGAAUUUUCUUGAAAGCAUAAAGGAGUAUUUGAAAGGAGUUUUUCAAAUAAAGACCUCGGUGAAGCUACUUACAUAUUGAGCAUCAAGAUCUAUAGAGAUAGAUCAAGCCACUUGAUAAGUUUUUUCAAUGAGUACAUACCUUGACAAGAUUUUGAAGUAGUUCAAAAUGGAAUAGUCAAAGAAAGAGUUCUUACCUGGGUUACAAGGUGUGAAAUUGAGUAAGACUCAAAGCCCGACCACGGCAGAAGAUAGAAAGAGAAUGAAAGUCAUUCCCUAUGCCUCAGCCAUAGUUUCUAUAAAGUAUGCCAUGCUAUGUACCAGAUCUAUUGUAUACCCUACACUGAGUUUAGCAAUGAAGUACAAUAUUGAUCUAGGAGUAGAUCACUGGACAGCGGUCAAAAUUUUCCUUAGUGGAAUAAGGAUAUGUUUCUCGAUUAUGGAGGUGACACAAGGUUCGUCGUAAAGGGUUACAUCAAUGCAAAUUUUGACACUAAUUCAGAUGACUCUAAGUCUCAAUCUGGAUAGAUUUUGAAAGUGGGAGCAAUUAGCUAGAGUAGCUCCGUGCAUAGCAUUGUUGACAUAGAAAUUUAUAAAAAUACAUACGGAUCUGAAUGUGGCAGACCCGUAGACUAAACUUCUUUCACAAGCAAAACAUGAUCACACCUUAGUACUCUUUGGGUGUUAAUCACGUAGCGAUGUGAACUAGAUUAUUGACUCUAGUAAACCCUUCGGGUGUUGGUCACAUGACAAUGUGAACUAUGGGUGUUAAUCACAUGGUGAUGUGAACUAUUGGUGUUAAAUCACAUGGCGAUGUGAACUAGAUUAUUGACUCUAGUGCAAGUGGGAGACUGAAGGAAAUAUGCCCUAGAUGCAAUAAUAAAGUUAUUAUUUAUUUCCUUAUUUCAUAAGAAAUGUUCAUUAUUCAUGCUAGAAUUGUAUUAACCGAAAACAUAAUACAUGUGUGAAUACAUAGACAAACAUAGUGUCACUAGUAUGCCUCUACUUGACUAGCUCGUUCAAAGAUGGUUAAGUUUCCUAACCAUAGACAUGAGUUGUCAUUUUAUUAACAAGAUCACAUCAUUAGGAGAAUGAUGUGAUUGACUUGACCCAUUCCGUUAGCUUAGCACUUGAUCGUUUUGUAUGUUGCUAUUGCUUUCUUCAUGACUUAUACAUGUUCCUAUGACUAUGAGAUUAUGCAACUCCCAUUUACCGGAGGAACACUUUGUGUGCUACCAAACGUCACAACGUAACUGGGUGAUUAUAAAGAUGCUCUACAGGUGUCUCCGAAGGUACUUAUUGAGUUGGUGUAUUUCGAGAUUAGGAUUUGUCACUCCGAUUAUCGGAGAGGUAUCUCUGGGCCCACUCAGUAAUGCACAUCACUAUAAGCCUUGCAAGCAUUGUAACUAAUAAGUUAGUUACGGGAUGAUGUAUUACAAAACGAGUAAAGAGACUUGCCGGUAGAGAGAUUGAACUAGGUAUUGGGAUACCGACGAUCGAGUCUCGGGCAAGUAACAUACCGAUGACAAAGAGAACAACGUAUAGUGUUAUGCAGUUUGACCGAUAAAGAUCUUUGUAGGAUAUGUAGGAACCAAUAUGAGCAUCCAGGUUCCGCUAUUGGUUAUUGACCGGAGACAUGUCUCGGUCAUGUCUACAUAGUUCUCGAACCCGUAGGGUCCGCACGCUUAAAGUUCUGUGAUGAUCGGUUUUAUUAGUUUAUAUGUUUUGAUGUACCAAAGGUAGUUCGGAGUCCCGGAUAUGAUCACGGAAAUGACAAGGAGUCUCGAAAUGGUCGAGACAUAAAGGUUGAUAUAUUGGAAGCCUGCAUUUGCACAUCGGAAGAGUUCCGGGUAAAAUCGGGAUUUUACCGGAGUACCGGAGGGGUUAUCAGAACCCCCCGGGGGCUAAUGGGACUUGUUGGGCCAUAAGGGAAAGAGAGAGGGGCCGGCCUAGGGUAGGGAGCGCGCCCCCUCCCUCUGGUCCGAAUUGGACUAGGAGAGGUGUAACGACCCGACCCAAAUGGAUCAAGUCUCUGUGCUUAAGUGUCAUCCCUGGAUCGGUAUGCUGACACACACAGUACUCAAGGAUUUAUAAUAGAGGUAAAUCACAUGUAUAAAGUAACGUAAAUACUAUUACCUCAAUCCAAAAUAGCGAAAGUAACAACAAGGUCGUGGAUUCCCAUCAACACCAACAGCAAAGUUGAGUGUAGAAAUCGUAACCCUAACGUAUCACUUACUCGUCGUAAGAUUCGUGCAACAUGAGACGUUGCAGCCACAAAGGGUCAGUACAUUGAAUGUACUGGCAAAUUCACACCAUAGAGAGAAAUGAUGAACAAUGGCUAUCACUACAUGCAUAUAUGGCUGGUGGAAAAGCUCUAUGGUUAUAAGGUUUUUGCGAAAAGCCAAUUUUUCCCUACUGCAAAGGAAUAAAUUUUAUUUAACUAUCAUGGUGGUUGUUGAACAUUGAGAAUGGUUGACAGAACAUGGAGCAUUAGAACUCAAAGUUUUUGUAAAUAAAACCCCAAGCCAGGAGAUAUCAAUUAUGGAAUGAAAGCUCAUGGUAGUAACAUGGGCAUAGACACGGCUAACCAUGGAGUUAUCGCCGCUUAUGCUAUUAUCACCGUGCUGAGUUAAGCAUGCAUUUCUUCGGAAGGAUUGGAUGGUAGAAGGCUGAUGGAGCACCUAUCAACAAGAGAGGAAGUUUUAGCUGGUGUAUCACCAGGAUCUGGAGUAUUACAUCAAGGAUUUUAAGAUGGACCUGCAGGAAGCCGUAUUUGACGAGAAAGCAUGUCGUGAAGAACUUAGGAGCAAGAAGUUGAAGCAGCCAAGCUAGCGGAAUAAAACCUUGAGAUACAGGAGAUUCGACAGGAACUGAAGGACAGUAGGACAAUGGUUCAUGCGAAGGAUGUUAAAACCAGAAGUUCGGAACGCAACUCCAGAAUAUUAAAGGACGUCACGAGAGACUUCGCGUCAACAAGAAUGAUCUGGAAAAAGAACUUGAGAAAGACAAGCAUGAUCGGAAGAAGCCAUUGGAGGCAUGAACAAGGCUUGAAGAGUUUGGAGACGUUGAAGAUUUAUUGACCUUUAGAAGACCAAACCCCUAUUAUAUACCUACGUUAGAUGCGAUGUUUGUGAGCUGUCAUUUGUUUGACAUUUUUCCCGACAGCCACAAAUAAAAUCUGUCUUUUCAAAACUUUUGUUUGUAUUGUGUGUAUCCCUCUCUAUCUCUCUUAUCUCGCCCCAAACCCAUGGACCCAAUAGAGGAUGAAUGAAGAUGAGCUUAUAUUUUCUGGACCGAUGAGUCAAUUGGAGACGGACCAAUGGAUUCAGAACAUGGAGGAUCACAUGAAGAAUAACCCUAUAGUCGGAAAGGAUAUGACCCAACAUGCUCUUCAGUGCUUUGAAAGAGGUGCCGCUACUUGGUGGAGGAUGUACCAAACCAUCAAUGGAUGGCAAGGAGUAACCACUUGGAAAGAAUUUAAGUUGACUCUGCCAAAGUCUCGGCUUGUGUCCCAGAAGUUGAAGCCUUAUGGAAAGGAUAUGAAGAAACCUUGUGCAUGCAAGAUUUGUGGAGAAAUAGGACACACCCAUAAAGAACACAAGGAUGAAUGCACUAAUUGUGAAGGAAAUCACCCAGUUGAAGAAUGCCCAACUAGGCAGAUUACUUGUUUCUUGUGUGAAGGUACUACCCACUAUCCUGCUCAGUGUCACAUUUACCCCAUGGUACAACGAACCAUCUAGCAGAAGAAAGAAGUAAUGAAAGUAGCCCUCAUGGAAAUUUUAGAAGAAGUUGUGAUGAAGGAAGAGAUGGAGGACACACCUAAAGAAGACCCGAGUAAACCCUGCACUAAGUCUUUCUAUUCAUGUGGAGAAGAAGGAGACAUCUCCCAAUUUUUUUUGAAUGGGGAUCUAGUAUAAUUCCCGACAGAGGAAGUAGAAUAUGACCCACGGGAAAUAGAAGCCCUGAUUGGAAUGGAAAAGUACAGAAAGAGAAACCAAUUGGGGCCCAGGAGGGACCUGAGUCAUAUCACCUGUUAUAGGUGCAAGGAGUCAGGGCACUACCCCAACAGUUGCCCAAAAAGGAAACCUCGAUACUUGUCAGAAGUAAUAUGUUUUAGUUGUAAUGAAGCAGGGCACUUUGCCAGAGAAUGACCCAAGGAGAAGGAAACUUGUGCUAGAUAGUUGAGUUUGCAACAAAAGAAAUGGAGUAGUAGAAGUGAGAACACUUUCUUUUGAGGUGUUGAGUUGAGACAUGUAAUGGAACAGCGAGAGAUUGUAAUCAUUUGAGAAUGAAUAAAGUUAGCAUCAUUGGUACUGAUAUGGAUUUUAUGAGUUGUUACUCUAUGAAGAAGGAUUAUGACCAUUUUGAGGAUAGGAGAAAAAUGGUCUAUGGAAGAUUUGUGCAUUUUAAGGGUGGUAGUACCCUGUAAGAACCAUUGACCCUGGAAAAAGGAUACUCCACUGAGUGGAUUUCAGACAAAAGGAAUACGAGUUUUGUCCCGAUAUGUGUGAUAUUCCAAGAGUAUGUGGGAUAAAGUUGGAGAACGUCAGUUGUUUGGACCAAAUGUGAUCAAGGAGUCAGAAGAGAAUGUUAAAUUGAUUCGAGAUAGACUGAAGGUAGCUCAGUCCAGGCAGAAGAGUUGUGCAGACUCAAAAUGCAAGGAGGUAGUCUAUGAAAUGGGAGACGGAGCAUGUCUUCGUGUGUCCCCUCUGCGAGGAGUUAAACGAUUUGUAGUUAAGGGAAUGUUAGCCUCGAGAUUUGUAGGACCAUACCGAGUUUUGGAGCGUAUGGGAGAAGUGGCCAACAAGUUGGAGUCACCCGAAGAACUAUCAGGAGUUCACGACGUGCUUCAUGUAUCCCAGUUGAAGAAGUGCCACGCAGAGAUGGCUGACAUACCGCUGAGAGAUACGGUACCACUGGAAGCAAUUCAGUUGGACAGUGAUUUGACCUAUGAGGAGAAACCCGUUAAGAUUCUAGAGUAUGCUAGUCGAGUCACCCGCAGCAAGGUUAUCAAGUUUUGCAAGGUUCAGUGGAGCCACCACACGGAGGAUGAAGCCACCUGGGAACGAGAGGAAGAUUUGCUGAAGGACUACCCUCACCUAUUUACUAGCCAACCCGAAUCUCGAGGGCGAGAUUCAUCUUAAGGGGGGUAGGUUUGUGACAUCCCAAAUUUUCAAUUUGGAAUGUUAUACACUAGAUCAUCAUUGCAUAUCAUAUUUAUUGCAUUUUGGUUGAUCCUAGAAAUUUUUCGCAACUCAAGGACCCUUGGAGAGAGUUGGGGAUUUCGUUAUUUUCAUAUUUGAGUUUUCUCAAAUUUUGAAAUAGGGAUCAUUUGAUUUUAUUUAUUUUAUCUUCAAUUAUUUCUACUAUCAAAAUAUGAGAGAGGGAAUAAAAUGACUUUCCCAAAAUAAAGAAAUAUUGAGGAUUUAAUAAUAAAAAUCAAAUAAGAUUUUAUUUGGUUUAUUUGCUAUUUUAUUUGAAUUUAGGAAAAAUGCGCGUUUUUCAAAAUUGCAUUUAGGCCCCAAAUAAAUGUUCAUCCUGUGCGGCUUGAUUUUAGAAGCCGGGGAAAAUUUAUUUCGGGAUUUUUGGAGUCCGUUUACUAUUCCUUUUGUUUUUUUCUGAGCGUAAUUUAAAACAAACGCAACCGACCUACGGGCCGUGUCCGACCCGGACACAAGGCCUGUCUGGCUUUAUAAGCCGGGGAGGCCCAGCUGGAACCCCCCCAAACCCUAGCCGCCGCCACCACCACCCGCGCCGCCCCGCGCCGCCACCCGUGCCGCCCUGCGAUGCCCCGCCACCCGCGCUGCCCCGCCGCCGCCGCCGCCGAUGAUCGCCGGAGCCACGCUGCCGCCACCGUUCGCUGGAGCGCCGAGGUAGACGCCGUUGCCUUGGUUUUCGCGAAGAAAACCGAUCGGUUAAAAAAAAACAAAAAAAACUUAGAUCUAUUUUUUUCGUUAGAUCGGUUUUUCCGGUUUAUUUAUUUAGCGAACGUUCGUCCGUUCGUUCAUUUUAAUGAACGUUCUUCGUUUUUCUUUUUCUCGGAUUAAAUCCGCGAUUUUUUUGAUCGUGAUUUCUGAUCCGAUUUUCAUUUUAGUCUAACUUUUCGCUCGUUUAUCGAAAUCAGGCGAUUCAAGCGCCUGGAGUUUCGUCUCGAAUCCCUCUUUCCGAUUAACCAACUCAAACAAGUUUUUGCCACUGUAAAUAUUGCCUUAGAUCCAGAAUAGUAAACGAAGCAUGUUUCUUUUGCCGUUUUGUCUUUUGUUGCUUCGUUCGAUUUGAUUUUUUUGGCAACCGGAGUUCUUAAGUUGAACCUUCUGGUUAGAGCUCUUAUUUGAGUUUCACCUGUGCAUUAGUUGAGUACUUAUUGUAUGCUUGUUUGUUUGCGUUAGAGUACCCAGAGUGCGCCGCUUGUUACUUCGAAUCGCUAGGUUUCCCGGAUUAUCAACAUGGCAAGUAACACUUUGAUCAUACCUCCUACUACCCAGUUUUAUUGCAUUAGAUCAAUCCUUACACAUUGCAUGAUUAGGAUCUAAUUAAAUUGUGGGUUUGGAAAGUAGUUGAGGUAGUACCUAUUACCUGUUUAUUAUCAAAACCUUUGGGAGUUACUUCUACGUUGCUUAUUAUGCCAUGCUAUGCUAGUAGACGUGGAUUGGGUGAGUGUAUCCAUGACAGAUGUGAGUUUGUUAAUUAAUGGUUUAUUUAAGGUGGCAACUUAAACACACAUCUGGGUGGAUUGAGGUACCUCAGUAUUCCAGGAUUGCCUGUUUUUCUUUAUGGAUCGCCACCCAGGCUCAAAGGGAUCAUGAGAUUAUUCAUGCUAGAAACUUCCGUGUGCAGCCACAAGCUAUUAUGGGCUCUAGCAUAGUUGAAUAAGUCGUGCGAACUCUUACAGUGGUAGACUAGCAGAUGUAGGGGAUGUAGGUGGUACAGUCUACCCAUCGUAAGGUGCCAGCACUUCUGAAAGACUAUGUCUUGGUCAUCCGUUUCUCAAACACCGUGUAGUGCGAGAAACCAAACGGAGGCGAUCGAGUCUUGUGGGGAAAAGUGCGCAAACCUCUGCAGAGUUUAUAAACUAAUCAUGGUUAGCCGUGUCCCCGGUUAUGGACAUCUUGAGUAUCUAGUACCUGGAUUAUCAUGUGAAUCUCAACAUGUUACUAUAAAAUUUAAUUUUGAUGGGUUUGUUUAAUGAUGAUGUUUAAUUGGGAUUGAGAAUGCUGUCAACCAUUCUCAAUGUUUAACAACCACCAUGAUAGUUAAAUAAAUUUAUUCCUUUGCAGUAGGGAAAAAUUAACUUUUCGCAAAACUGUAACCAUAGAGCUUUCCACCAGCCAAAUAUGCAUAUAGAAUAGCUGUUUCAUUCCAUUACUCUCUAUGUGUUACAUUGCCAGCAUAUUCCAUGUGCUGACCCGUUUCAGGCUGCAACGUUAAUUUUGCAGACUUUUCAGACGACGAUUAAGGAGUUUUUAGGUGGUGGUUCUAUACUCAGUGUUGCCAUUGGAGUUGAUGGACUCACUUAUCUUCCAAGCCUUCUGCCGUUAUCGUUAUUAGAUGGCCUUAUGCCAUAUUUAUUGUAAUAAGUUCUCUUUUGGGGACACUCGAUGUAAUAAGUGUGUGAUUGCUACUCUGUUAUAAAUCCUUCAAGUACUAUGUGGUGUCAGCAUUACUGAUCCAGGGAUGACACCGGAGCACAGAGAUUGGACCGUUUGAGGUCUGGUCGCUACAAGAGGGGGGGGCGCCCCCCUUUCCUUCUCUUUCUUCCCCUUCCUUUCCCCGUCCUAGUAGGAGUAGGAAAGGGAGGAAUCCUACUCCUACUAGGAGGAUGAUUCCUCCUCCUGGCGCACCAACAAGGGCCGGCCGGCCUCCCCCUUGCUCCUUUAUAUACAGGGGCAGGGGGCACCUCUGGACACACAAGUUGAUCACAAAAAUCUCUCCCGGCCGUGUGCGGUGCCCCCCUCCACCAUAAUCUACCUUGGUCAUACUGUAGCGGUGUUUAGGCGAAGCCCUGCUGCGGUAGCUUCAUCAACAUCGUCACCACGCCGUCGUGCUGACGAAACUCUUCCUCGAGCUCUACUGGAUCAUGAGUUUGCGGGACGUCACCGAGCUGAACGUGUGCUAAACGCGGAGGUGCCGUACGUUCAGUACUGAGGAUCGGUCGAUCGUAAAAUGUACGACUACAUCAACCGCGUUGUCAUAACGCUUCCGCUUAAUGAUCUACGAGGGUACGUGGACGACACUCUCCCCUCUUUUUGCUAUGCAUCACCAUGAUCCUGCGUGUGCGUAGGAUUUUUUUUUGAAAUUACUAUGUUUCCCAACAAACCUCAGUCCUCAGUAUACAACAAUCUCAUUCUACAUAUCUGUAUGUAUUGUUCAAGUGUUCACAAUAACACUGAAUUUAUAUAUUGCAAAAAAUUCAGCGGUGAUAUGCACAUCUUAGAGAAAAUUUUAAAAUAAUGUCAAGAUAAAUUCUUGGACCCAAGUACGUGGGAGUACAAAACUCAG